Molecule: ribosomal RNA, 497 nt
Filed under: uncultured bacterium
Lineage: Bacteria
Description: partial 16S ribosomal RNA
Rfam family: Bacterial small subunit ribosomal RNA
Source: RNAcentral
GAUGAACGCUGGCGGCGUGCCUAAUACAUGCAAGUCGAGCGAACAGACGAGGAGCUUGCUCCUUUGACGUUAGCGGCGGACGGGUGAGUAACACGUAGGUAACCUACCUAUAAGACUGGGAUAACUUCGGGAAACCGGAGCUAAUACCGGAUAAUAUUUCGAACCGCAUGGUUCGAUAGUGAAAGAUGGCUUUGCUAUCACUUAUAGAUGGACCUGCGCCGUAUUAGCUAGUUGGUAAGGUAACGGCUUACCAAGGCAACGAUACGUAGCCGACCUGAGAGGGUGAUCGGACACACUGGAACUGAGACACGGUCCAGACUCCUACGGGAGGACGCAGUAGGGAAUCUUCCGCAAUGGGCGAAAGCCUGACGGAGCAACGCCGCGUGAGUGAUGAAGGUCUUCGGAUCGUAAAACUCUGUUAUUAGGGAAGAACAAACGUGUAAGUAACUGUGCACGUCUUGACGGUACCUAAUCAGAAAGCCACGGCUAACUACGUG